AUUUUAUGUUUGUUCUU
RNAcentral lists this small RNA (17 nucleotides) under Arabidopsis thaliana (thale cress). RNAcentral describes it as "ATSL235010". The record is from RNAcentral. Lineage: Eukaryota; Viridiplantae; Streptophyta; Magnoliopsida; Brassicales; Brassicaceae.